UACGGAGGAUCCAAGCGUUAUCCGGAUUUAUUGGGUUUAAAGGGUGCGUAGGUGGCCUAUUAAGUCAGGGGUGAAAGACGGUAGCUCAACUAUCGCAGUGCCUUUGAUACUGAUGGGCUUGAAUACAGUUGAAGUGGGCGGAAUGUGACAAGUAGCGGUGAAAUGCAUAGAUAUGUCACAGAACACCGAUUGCGAAGGCAGCUCACUAAAGUGUGAUUGACACUGAGGCACGAAAGCGUGGGGAUCAAACAGG
This 253-nucleotide ribosomal RNA is filed under the name uncultured bacterium. RNAcentral describes it as "partial 16S ribosomal RNA". It matches the Rfam family "Bacterial small subunit ribosomal RNA", at positions 524 to 776 of the family's 1533-position model. RNAcentral also lists the same sequence under 1 other name. The record is from RNAcentral.